AGCUUUGUGCAGUGGUAGUAUCAUAGCCAGUGAGGUUUAUCUGAGGCAUGAUUAUCGACAAUUGAAACAAAAUGUCCUCUUUUGCAAGUAAAAACUCCAGGCACCAAAGUGUUUGCUCGCUCUGCCAUGUG
Homo sapiens (human) is the source of this 131-nucleotide small nuclear RNA. It matches the Rfam family "U4 spliceosomal RNA". Rfam says of the family: U4 small nuclear RNA (U4 snRNA) is a component of the major U2-dependent spliceosome. The structure of U4 snRNA from yeast and human has been reported. U4 snRNA presents a k-turn RNA motif in the 5p-SL related to recognition of Snu13 protein. The record is from Rfam. NCBI's taxonomy places the organism in Eukaryota, Metazoa, Chordata, Mammalia, Primates, Hominidae.